This 301-nucleotide ribosomal RNA is filed under the name uncultured bacterium. RNAcentral's name for it is "partial 16S ribosomal RNA". It matches the Rfam family "Bacterial small subunit ribosomal RNA", at positions 509 to 807 of the family's 1533-position model. The record is from RNAcentral.
CAGUAGCCACGGUAAUACAGAGGGUGCGAGCGUUAAUCGGAAUUACUGGGCGUAAAGGGCGCGUAGGCGGUUAGGAAGGUGUGAUGUGAAAGCCCUGGGCUUAACCUAGGAAGUGCAUCGCAAACCAACUAGCUGGAGUAUAAGAGAGGGUGGCGGAAUUUCCGGUGUAGCGGUGAAAUGCGUAGAGAUCGGAAGGAACGUCAAUGGCGAAGGCAGCCACCUGGCUUAAUACUGACGCUGAGGCGCGAAAGCGUGGGGAGCGAACAGGAUUAGAUACCCCCGUAGUCCCUGUCUCUUAUAC